This 251-nucleotide ribosomal RNA is filed under the name uncultured bacterium. RNAcentral describes it as "partial 16S ribosomal RNA". It matches the Rfam family "Bacterial small subunit ribosomal RNA", at positions 524 to 776 of the family's 1533-position model. The record is from RNAcentral.
UACGGAGGAUGCGAGCGUUAUCCGGAUUUAUUGGGUUUAAAGGGUGCGUAGGCGGACGCUUAAGUCAGCGGUAAAAUUGCGGGGCUCAACCUCGUCGAGCCGUUGAAACUGGGUGCCUUGAGUGGGCGAGAAGUACGCGGAAUGCGUGUGUAGCGGUGAAAUGCAUAGAUAUCACGCAGAACUCCGAUUGCGAAGGCAGCGUACCGGCGCCCAACUGACGCUGAAGCACGAAGGCGUGGGUAUCGAACAGG